Molecule: transfer RNA, 73 nt
Filed under: Felis catus (domestic cat)
Lineage: Eukaryota; Metazoa; Chordata; Mammalia; Carnivora; Felidae
Rfam family: tRNA
About the family: Transfer RNA (tRNA) molecules are approximately 80 nucleotides in length. Their secondary structure includes four short double-helical elements and three loops (D, anti-codon, and T loops). Further hydrogen bonds mediate the characteristic L-shaped molecular structure. tRNAs have two regions of fundamental functional importance: the anti-codon, which is responsible for specific mRNA codon recognition, and the 3' end, to which the tRNAs corresponding amino acid is attached (by aminoacyl-tRNA synthetases). tRNAs cope with the degeneracy of the genetic code in two manners: having more than one tRNA (with a specific anti-codon) for a particular amino acid; and 'wobble' base-pairing, i.e. permitting non-standard base-pairing at the 3rd anti-codon position.
Source: Rfam by way of RNAcentral
ACCUGGGUGGCUCAGUCAGUAGAGUGUGGGACUCUUGAUCUCCGGGUUGUGAGUUCAAGUCCCAUGUUAGGUG